GAGGGGAUUGGAGUCAGAAGACUUUGCUUCAAAAGCUGGUUCUGGUACUUUAUUCAUGUGUGACCCUGGGACAAACAAAUAAUGCCGUGAGAUCCAACUGAGCUGUUCAUUCAGCUUUGGCAAGAGUACAAGGUCAUUUAAUUGGAGCCUCUUGAAAAGAGUUCUACUAGACUCCCCAUUGACAUACUGCCAUCUGCUGGAGCUGGGUCUGCCGAUCAGCUUUCCAAGUGUUUGGCUCCCUGAGCCGGAACAUAUGCUCAUUCUCCAUUUCCUGCUGAUUUUUCUGACGCCUGUCCAAAUAUCCAGGAGAGGAAGGCAGGCAGGACUAGAUUUCUGCAAAACUGUGAAGGCUGAGGCUGAAAAUUUUCUGAAGAAGAAGAACCACUCUCAACCAUUAUUAUUGAAUACAGCAUUUGCUCUGGACUUGAUAUUAAUUCUUACUGAAAGUAAUCUAAAGUUACAAGGCAAAACAACACUUAUAUGCAAAAUAUACUGCAAUAAAGUCAAUUUGAUGACAACUAAUAUUGUUCAACUCACAGGUAAUAUCAAGGUGCUUCAUAUACUUCCUAUGCUGUCAAAAGUUAAAUCAAGAAGUAAGAACUUUACUCCCACACGAAUUUAUAAUGGAUAUAUUUUCUGAGAUCAAAAUAUAGAUCCAGCAGUGUUUUUUGGAUCUUAAUGAAAGUGCAAAAGAAAUGUUUAUAUUUCAAAUUUUACUUCACUGAUCAGGUGAGAAGCUCUCACUUAACCUUAAUUUGGAAGAGACUAACUCUGCAACAUAAUGAUCUACUAAGGAAAAAAUACUGGGAGGUGGAUAUAAUAGAAUUCCAUAUAUUGAAUAUGCCCAAUUAAAAUCAUAUGCUCCUGGACUGAUAUUAGUAUUUGAAAGAACUUAUAUUUGCAAAGAGACAUUUUCAAAGAUGAAAUUCAUAAGAUCUCGUUACAGGUUAGUAUUAACAGGUAAACAUUUAUAAUUGAUUUUAAUGAUAGGGAAUACUAACUUUUGACCCCCAGUAAGUAAAGUAUCAUUCCCAAGAAGAAUCUGAUUAUUAUCAUUAGGAGAGCCACAUUAAAAAUUAUACCCGAUUAUUACUAUGACUAUUAUUAUAUUUUGAAAUAUGCCAAAAACGUUUGGGGAAAUUGGUUUUCUCUUGUUAUAUAAGUACCUACAUAAUAUCCUUGAUUUCUCCUUCUAUCCACUGCCUACAGAAUAGUUUAACUAUAACAGCUCUAAUUUACCAUAACUGCUUUAGUUUAAUUAUAACAACAGAGGGCCUAAAAUGUUUAUUAUUUGGCUAAUUGUAGAAAAAGUUUUCCAAUUGCUAUCUUGGAACAAUACAGAUAUGUAGAAUGUAACCUGGUGCUCAACUAUUUUCCAUAAGACUAUCUUCCUUGGUGAAAAAUGAUUACUUGAUAUUCUGAAAAUGCAUGAGGAUCAGAGUUGAUGAAAGCUUCGGAGAAGAGAGAUGUUAGGUUUUCUGUCUUUGAGAAAGGACACACAAGGUUCCAGGCUUUCUUCAGGAUAAGGUGGCUGAAGGGAGAGAAAGACUCCAAGAAAAAGUCUACAUGUUCAAGCAACUGGUACCUCUCUAUCUGUUGGCUUCUUCUUGGAG
Molecule: long non-coding RNA, 1613 nt
Organism: Monodelphis domestica (gray short-tailed opossum)
Lineage: Eukaryota; Metazoa; Chordata; Mammalia; Didelphimorphia; Didelphidae
Source: Ensembl